RNAcentral lists this long non-coding RNA (302 nucleotides) under Theobroma cacao (cacao). RNAcentral's name for it is "long non-coding RNA (TCAC_LNC001620)". The record is from RNAcentral. Lineage: Eukaryota; Viridiplantae; Streptophyta; Magnoliopsida; Malvales; Malvaceae.
AACCAAAAAUUUUUAGCAGCCAAAGCUGCUCAUAUCCACCUCAAAAUCAGCAGCCAAGCUACUCUAUUCAUUCUAAAAAAUCAGCAACUAAGCUGCUCUAUUCUUUCUCUAAAAAUUAGCAGCCAUAGCUACUCCUUUCCUCCCUAAAUGGCAGCAAAACCGCAUUCUCAACUCAGCUUUUUCACCUUUCCUUUCUUUCUUUUUCUCUCUCUCGGCUGUUUCUCUCUUUUUUCUUUCCUUUGUUCUUUUGCUUUUCUGUUGCUCUCCCUCACAAUCGAUUUCUCUCUUUCCCGUUUCUUCUU